GACGUAGGGCGCGAGCGUUGUCCGGAUUUAUUGGGCGUAAAGAGCUCGUAGGCGGCUUGUCGCGUCGACCGUGAAAACUUGGGGCUCAACCCCCAAGCCUGCGGUCGAUACGGGCAGGCUCGAGUUCGGUAGGGGAGACUGAAAUUCCUGGUGUAGCGGUGAAAUGCGCAGAUAUCAGGAGGAACACCGAUGGCGAAGGCAGGUCUCUGGGCCGAUACUGACGCUGAGGAGCGAAAGCGUGGGGAGCGAACAGG
This 254-nucleotide ribosomal RNA is filed under the name uncultured bacterium. RNAcentral's name for it is "partial 16S ribosomal RNA". It matches the Rfam family "Bacterial small subunit ribosomal RNA", at positions 524 to 776 of the family's 1533-position model. The record is from RNAcentral.